This 253-nucleotide ribosomal RNA is filed under the name uncultured bacterium. RNAcentral's name for it is "partial 16S ribosomal RNA". It matches the Rfam family "Bacterial small subunit ribosomal RNA", at positions 524 to 776 of the family's 1533-position model. The record is from RNAcentral.
UACGUGGGGUGCGAGCGUUGUCCGGAUUCCCUGGGCGUAAAGGGCGCGUAGGCGGCAAUUCAAGUCAGUUGUGAAAUCUCCGAGCUUAACUCGGAACGGGCAACUGAUACUGUUUUGCUAGAGUACAGAAGGGGCAAUCGGAAUUCUUGGUGUAGCGGUGAAAUGCGUAGAUAUCAAGAGGAACACCUGAGGUGAAGACGGGUUGCUGGGCUGAUACUGACGCUGAGGCGCGAAAGCUAGGGUAGCAAACGGG